CUACGGGGCGCACCAGUGGGGAAUAUUGCACAAUGGACGAAAGUCUGAUGCAGCAACGCCGCGUGGAGGAUGACACAUUUCGGUGCGUAAACUCCUUUUAUAUAGGAAGAUAAUGACGGUACUAUAUGAAUAAGCGCCGGCUAACUCCGUGCCAGCAGCCGCGGUAAUACGGAGGGCGCAAGCGUUACUCGGAAUCACUGGGCGUAAAGAGCGUGUAGGCGGAUAGAUAAGUCAGGAGUGAAAUCCUAGGGCUCAACCAUAGAACUGCUCUUGAAACUGUCUAUCUAGAAUAUGGGAGAGGUAGAUGGAAUUUCUGGUGUAGGGGUAAAAUCCGUAGAGAUCAGAAGGAAUACCGAUUGCGAAGGCGAUCUACUGGAACAUUAUUGACGCUGAGACGCGAAAGCGUGGGGAGCAAACAGGAUUAGAUACCCCAGUAGUC
RNAcentral lists this ribosomal RNA (439 nucleotides) under uncultured bacterium. RNAcentral describes it as "partial 16S ribosomal RNA". It matches the Rfam family "Bacterial small subunit ribosomal RNA", at positions 339 to 795 of the family's 1533-position model. The record is from RNAcentral.